GAGCUUGCUCUCGGGUGACGAGCGGCGGACGGGUGAGUAAUGUCUGGGAAACUGCCUGAUGGAGGGGGAUAACUACUGGAAACGGUAGCUAAUACCGCAUAACGUCGCAAGACCAAAGUGGGGGACCUUCGGGCCUCAUGCCAUCAGAUGUGCCCAGAUGGGAUUAGCUAGUAGGUGGGGUAACGGCUCACCUAGGCGACGAUCCCUAGCUGGUCUGAGAGGAUGACCAGCCACACUGGAACUGAGACACGGUCCAGACUCCUACGGGAGGCAGCAGUGGGGAAUAUUGCACAAUGGGCGCAAGCCUGAUGCAGCCAUGCCGCGUGUGUGAAGAAGGCCUUCGGGUUGUAAAGCACUUUCAGCGGGGAGGAAGGCGAUAAGGUUAAUAACCUUGUCGAUUGACGUUACCCGCAGAAGAAGCACCGGCUAACUCCGUGCCAGCAGCCGCGGUAAUACGGAGGGUGCAAGCGUUAAUCGGAAUUACUGGGCGUAAAGCGCACGCAGGCGGUCUGUCAAGUCGGAUGUGAAAUCCCCGGGCUCAACCUGGGAACUGCAUUCGAAACUGGCAGGCUAGAGUCUUGUAGAGGGGGGUAGAAUUCCAGGUGUAGCGGUGAAAUGCGUAGAGAUCUGGAGGAAUACCGGUGGCGAAGGCGGCCCCCUGGACAAAGACUGACGCUCAGGUGCGAAAGCGUGGGGAGCAACAGGAUAGAUACCCUGGUAGUCACGCCGUAACGAUGUCGAUUUGG
Molecule: ribosomal RNA, 746 nt
Filed under: Klebsiella sp. HGB0164
Lineage: Bacteria; Pseudomonadati; Pseudomonadota; Gammaproteobacteria; Enterobacterales; Enterobacteriaceae
Description: bacterial SSU rRNA
Rfam family: Bacterial small subunit ribosomal RNA
Source: RNAcentral